Molecule: non-coding RNA, 149 nt
Filed under: Paraburkholderia sp. BL17N1
Lineage: Bacteria; Pseudomonadati; Pseudomonadota; Betaproteobacteria; Burkholderiales; Burkholderiaceae
Source: RNAcentral
CCGGCUGUUCCGUCAGCCGUAACCUACCGAUGCAUGCGGAACUGGUAACGGUUCGGUAUGAAGCCAUUGGGACAACGUACCCCGUUCAAUAAACGACAGGUGCCUUGUGAGGGGCAUGGUCGUCUGCUAGCAACAAGGCGGACAGGGGG